CUGGUUGUUAAGGCCUCAUUCUUCCCAACGAGGCGGCUGGAAAGGCAGCAGAGCAGCUGAGGCUCCAGAAAAGGAGUAGUAUACUCUGAUGAAGAGGAUAUUUUACAAGCAUAGAAAAAGAACUCCAGAUCCAGGUGGGCUCUUUCCAUGGAGCCUGAGACUUAUGAUGCCAGGUGCCUGGACAAAGCUUCCAGGUAAGCAAUAGUGGUUGCCGGUGUUCUGUGAGCUGUCCCAGAAGGCCAGGUAAGAAGGCACUUCAUCCUAAUAUUUGGAAGUAUGAGCUUCCCCAUG
RNAcentral lists this long non-coding RNA (291 nucleotides) under Pan paniscus (pygmy chimpanzee). Its description in RNAcentral is "lncRNA (ENSPPAG00000044175.1)". Lineage: Eukaryota; Metazoa; Chordata; Mammalia; Primates; Hominidae. The record is from RNAcentral.